CCUACGGGAGGCAGCAGUGAGGAAUAUUGGUCAAUGGGCGGAAGCCUGAACCAGCCAAGUAGCGUGCAGGAUGACGGCCCUACGGGUUGUAAACUGCUUUUAUACGGGAAUAACGCGCCUUACGUGUAGGUCUUUGCAUGUACCGUAUGAAUAAGGACCGGCUAAUUCCGUGCCAGCAGCCGCGGUAAUACGGAGGGUCCGGGCGUUAUCCGGAUUUAUUGGGUUUAAAGGGAGCGUAGGCGGCAUGUCAAGUGUGUUGUGAAAUGUUCGGGCUCAACCCGAGCCUUGCAGCGCGUACUGGCGUGCUUGAGUCCGCUGAAGGCAGGCGGAAUUCGUGGUGUAGCGGUGAAAUGCUUAGAUAUGACGAAGAACCCCGAUUGCGAAGGCAGCUUGCUGCAGCGGAACUGACGCUGAUGCUCGAAAGCGCGGGUAUCGAACAGGAUUAGAUACCCGUGUAGUC
This 460-nucleotide ribosomal RNA is filed under the name uncultured bacterium. RNAcentral describes it as "partial 16S ribosomal RNA". It matches the Rfam family "Bacterial small subunit ribosomal RNA", at positions 338 to 795 of the family's 1533-position model. The record is from RNAcentral.